GGAGGGAGGGGCGGGAGCGGCCUCCCGCGCACGUGCCGGCCCAUACGUGUCGGACGCUCAGGGCGCCUCGGCGCGUGCGGCGGCCCGGCUGUCGUUCCGACAGGAGGGAUACACGGGCAAAGCGUUCACACCCGAGACCCGGAGUCUUGCCUUAAAAAAAAAAAAAAACGAGACCCGGAGUCCACCCGAGGAAGGAACGGUAGACUUCCGAAACUGAACGGUCAGUUGCAAGUAACGGCGCCGGUCGACAGGCGCGGGUUUAGGCCGGUCGCCUGCCGGACCCUGCGAUCUGGAUAUGAAUAACCGUCCGAUUGCGAAAGAAAAGCAGAAAAAGAAUCCGCGGAAAAAAAAGCAAAAAGGUAAGAAAAAAAGUCAACUCUUACCCGUGCCUGUGGUUUCUCCCUCAUGGAGCGGAUGUUGUCAUCGCUCGUAGAUCCGUCGCGGCGUCAUGACAGCGUCGUGCUCGGGGCACACCACACCUCGGCCGCUCGCGCGCGGCAAGAUUGUCCGACGGUUGCCGCUUCUGCUCUCACUAGUCGAAGCUUUUUCGAUCGUCAAUUGCAACUUUCUUCCUCCUUCGGACGCCACGGUUGUUCCAUCACGGCAUGAUGCCGGACACAACACCGUUGCCGGCACCACGGUCCACCGGUUGCAUCAGUCGUUGGGGUCUGAUUGCGGCUUCCCGUCGCAGACACUAGCGCUCUCCGUUUGCGCAUCGUGCUCUUGUCAUGGAGAGCAGUAGCGGAUGCAACCAAGAGAGAGAAUCGAGGGAGGGGCGAUGGCUCGUUGGUUGGCUUCGUAGGGCUCAUCGGGGGUGAAGAUGGCGAGGG
RNAcentral lists this long non-coding RNA (830 nucleotides) under Hordeum vulgare. RNAcentral describes it as "long non-coding RNA (HVUL_LNC013121)". The record is from RNAcentral. Lineage: Eukaryota; Viridiplantae; Streptophyta; Magnoliopsida; Poales; Poaceae.